GACGAACGCUGGCGGCGUGCUUAACACGUGCAAGUCGAACGGUGAAGCCCUUCGGGGUGGAUCAGUGGCGAACGGGUGAGUAACACGUGGGUGACCUGCCUUCGAGCGGGGGAUAACGUCCCGAAAGGGACGCUAAUACCGCAUAACAUCCUGCCUUUUAAGAGGUGGAGAUCAAAGGCCGGGGAUCGCAAGACCUGGCACUUGAAGGACGGGGCCCGCGCCUGAUUAGCUAGUUGGUGGGGUAA
Molecule: ribosomal RNA, 245 nt
Filed under: uncultured bacterium
Lineage: Bacteria
Description: partial 16S ribosomal RNA
Rfam family: Bacterial small subunit ribosomal RNA
Source: RNAcentral